AGCUGGCGGACGAGUCCCAAAUAGGACGAAACACGCGUUAUCCUAGAU
Molecule: non-coding RNA, 48 nt
Filed under: Trichobilharzia regenti
Lineage: Eukaryota; Metazoa; Platyhelminthes; Trematoda; Strigeidida; Schistosomatidae
Source: RNAcentral